AUGGCGACCGGCGCACGGGUGAGUAACACGUAUCCAACCUGCCGAUGACUCGGGGAUAGCCUUUCGAAAGAAAGAUUAAUACCCGAUGGCAUAGUUCUUCCGCAUGGUAGAACUAUUAAAGAAUUUCGGUCAUCGAUGGGGAUGCGUUCCAUUAGCUUGUUGGCGGGGUAACGGCCCACCAAGGCAUCGAUGGAUAGGGGUUCUGAGAGGAAGGUCCCCCACAUUGGAACUGAGACAUGGUCCAAACUCCUACGGAAGGCAGCAG
Molecule: ribosomal RNA, 265 nt
Filed under: uncultured bacterium
Lineage: Bacteria
Description: partial 16S ribosomal RNA
Rfam family: Bacterial small subunit ribosomal RNA
Source: RNAcentral